UACGUAGGAUCCGAGCGUUGUCCGGAAUUACUGGGUGUAAAGGGCGUGUAGGUGGGUCUCUAAGUCGAUGGUGAAAUCCUGCAGCUCAACUGUAGAAUUGCCGUCGAUACUGGAGGUCUUGAGUGCGGCAGAGGGAGACGGAAUUCAUGGUGUAGCGGUGAAAUGUGUAGAUAUCAUGAAGAACACCGGUUGCGAAGGCGGUCUCCUGGCCCGUUACUGACACUGAGGCGCGAAAGCGUGGGGAGCAACCAGG
Molecule: ribosomal RNA, 253 nt
Filed under: uncultured bacterium
Lineage: Bacteria
Description: partial 16S ribosomal RNA
Rfam family: Bacterial small subunit ribosomal RNA
Source: RNAcentral